RNAcentral lists this ribosomal RNA (443 nucleotides) under Labrus bergylta (ballan wrasse). RNAcentral describes it as "partial small subunit ribosomal RNA". It matches the Rfam family "Bacterial small subunit ribosomal RNA", at positions 7 to 794 of the family's 1533-position model. The record is from RNAcentral. Lineage: Eukaryota; Metazoa; Chordata; Actinopteri; Labriformes; Labridae.
CAAAGGCUUGGUCCUGACUUUGUUAUCAACUUUAGCUAUACUUACACAUGCAAGCAUCCGCGACCCAGUGAGAAUGCCCUGUAGUCCUCUGUUUGAGGGCUGGGAGCUGGUAUCAGGCACAAGAACUUAGCCCAUGACGCCUUGUUUAGCCACACCCUCAAGGGAAUUCAGCAGUGAUAAACAUUAAGCCAUAAGUGAAAACUUGACUUAGUUAAAGCUAAGAGGGCCGGUAAAUCUCGUGCCAGCCACCGCGGUUAUACGAAAGACCCAAGUUGAUAAUCACCGGCGUAAAGAGUGGUUAAGAUAAACCCCCAAACUAAAGCCGAACAUCUUCAAAGCUGUUAUACGCACACGAAGAAAAGAAACCCAACCACGAAAGUGGCUUUAUAAUAUCUGACCCCACGAAAGCUAUGUCACAAACUGGGAUUAGAUACCCCACUAUG